RNAcentral lists this ribosomal RNA (460 nucleotides) under uncultured bacterium. RNAcentral describes it as "partial 16S ribosomal RNA". It matches the Rfam family "Bacterial small subunit ribosomal RNA", at positions 338 to 795 of the family's 1533-position model. The record is from RNAcentral.
CCUACGGGAGGCUGCAGUGAGGAAUAUUGGUCAAUGGGCGCGCGCCUGACCCAGCCAAGUAGCGUGAAGGAUGACUGCCCUACGGGUUGUAAACUUCUUUUAUAAAGGAAUAAAGUGAGGCCCGUGUGCCUUUUUGUAUGUACUUUAUGAAUAAGGAUCGGCUAACUCCGUGCCCGCAGCCGCGGUAAUACGGAGGAUCCGAGCGUUAACCGGAUUUAUUGGGUUUAAAGGGAGCGUAGAUGGGUUGUUAAGUCAGUUGUGAAAGUUUGCGGGUCAACCGUAAAAUGGCAAUUGAUACUGGCAGUCUUGAGUACAGUUGAGGUAGGCGGAAUGCGUGGUGUAGCGGUGAAAUGCUUAGAUAUCACGAAGAACUCCGAUUGCGAAGGCAGCUUACUAAACUGCCACUGACAUUGAUGCACGAAAGUGUGGGUAUCAAACAGGAUUAGAUACCCUUGUAGUC